UGGGGAAUAUUGGACAAUGGGCGAAAGCCUGAUCCAGCAACGCCGCGUGCGGGACGAAGGCCCUCGGGUCGUAAACCGCUGUCAGGAGGGAGGAACGGUGCGUGGUUAAGAGCUGCGUACUUUGACAGUACCUCCAGAGGAAGCCCCGGCUAACUCCGUGCCAGCAGCCGCGGUAAUACGGAGGGGGUUAGCGUUGUUCGGAAUUACUGGGCGUAAAGCGCACGUAGGCGGACCAGAAAGUUGGGGGUGAAAUCCCGGGGCUCAACCCCGGAACUGCCUCCAAAACUAUUGGUCUAGAGUUCGAGAGAGGUGAGUGGAAUUCCAAGUGUAGAGGUGAAAAUUCGUAGAUAUUUGGAGGAACACCAGUGGCGAAGGCGGCUCACUGGCUCGAUACUGACGCUGAGGUGCGAAAGUGUGGGGAGCAAACAGGAUUAGAUACCCUGGUAGUCCACGCCGUAAACGAUGAAUGUUAGCCGUCGGGCAGUAUACUGUUCGGUGGCGCAGCUAACGCAUUAAACAUUCCGCCUGGGAGUACGGUCGCAAGAUUAAAACUCAAAUGAAUUGACGG
RNAcentral lists this ribosomal RNA (568 nucleotides) under uncultured bacterium. RNAcentral describes it as "bacterial SSU rRNA". It matches the Rfam family "Bacterial small subunit ribosomal RNA", at positions 355 to 916 of the family's 1533-position model. The record is from RNAcentral.